UACAGAGGGUGCGAGCGUUGUUCGGAAUUAUUGGGCGUAAAGGGCGCGUAGGCGGCGCCACAGGUCACCCUGUGAAAACUCUGGGCUCAACCCAGAGCCUGCAGGCGAAACUGUGGUGCUGGAGUAUGGGAGAGGUGCGUGGAAUUCCCGGUGUAGCGGUGAAAUGCGUAGAUAGUCGGGAGGAACACCUGUGGCGAAAAGCGGCGCACUGGACCAUAACUGACGCUGAGGCGCGAAAGCUAGGGGAGCAAACAGG
Molecule: ribosomal RNA, 256 nt
Filed under: uncultured bacterium
Lineage: Bacteria
Description: partial 16S ribosomal RNA
Rfam family: Bacterial small subunit ribosomal RNA
Source: RNAcentral